RNAcentral lists this ribosomal RNA (2630 nucleotides) under Shigella boydii. RNAcentral describes it as "partial 23S ribosomal RNA". It matches the Rfam family "Bacterial large subunit ribosomal RNA". The record is from RNAcentral. Lineage: Bacteria; Pseudomonadati; Pseudomonadota; Gammaproteobacteria; Enterobacterales; Enterobacteriaceae.
GGGUUGUGAGGUUAAGCGACUAAGCGUACACGGUGGAUGCCCUGGCAGUCAGAGGCGAUGAAGGACGUGCUAAUCUGCGAUAAGCGUCGGUAAGGUGAUAUGAACCGUUAUAACCGGCGAUUUCCGAAUGGGGAAACCCAGUGUGUUUCGACACACUAUCAUUAACUGAAUCCAUAGGUUAAUGAGGCGAACCGGGGGAACUGAAACAUCUAAGUACCCCGAGGAAAAGAAAUCAACCGAGAUUCCCCCAGUAGCGGCGAGCGAACGGGGAGCAGCCCAGAGCCUGAAUCAGUGUGUGUGUUAGUGGAAGCGUCUGGAAAGGCGCGCGAUACAGGGUGACAGCCCCGUACACAAAAAUGCACAUGCUGUGAGCUCGAUGAGUAGGGCGGGACACGUGGUAUCCUGUCUGAAUAUGGGGGGACCAUCCUCCAAGGCUAAAUACUCCUGACUGACCGAUAGUGAACCAGUACCGUGAGGGAAAGGCGAAAAGAACCCCGGCGAGGGGAGUGAAAAAGAACCUGAAACCGUGUACGUACAAGCAGUGGGAGCCUCUUUAUGGGGUGACUGCGUACCUUUUGUAUAAUGGGUCAGCGACUUAUAUUCUGUAGCAAGGUUAACCGAAUAGGGGAGCCGAAGGGAAACCGAGUCUUAACUGGGCGUUAAGUUGCAGGGUAUAGACCCGAAACCCGGUGAUCUAGCCAUGGGCAGGUUGAAGGUUGGGUAACACUAACUGGAGGACCGAACCGACUAAUGUUGAAAAAUUAGCGGAUGACUUGUGGCUGGGGGUGAAAGGCCAAUCAAACCGGGAGAUAGCUGGUUCUCCCCGAAAGCUAUUUAGGUAGCGCCUCGUGAAUUCAUCUCCGGGGGUAGAGCACUGUUUCGGCAAGGGGGUCAUCCCGACUUACCAACCCGAUGCAAACUGCGAAUACCGGAGAAUGUUAUCACGGGAGACACACGGCGGGUGCUAACGUCCGUCGUGAAGAGGGAAACAACCCAGACCGCCAGCUAAGGUCCCAAAGUCAUGGUUAAGUGGGAAACGAUGUGGGAAGGCCCAGACAGCCAGGAUGUUGGCUUAGAAGCAGCCAUCAUUUAAAGAAAGCGUAAUAGCUCACUGGUCGAGUCGGCCUGCGCGGAAGAUGUAACGGGGCUAAACCAUGCACCGAAGCUGCGGCAGCGACGCUUAUGCGUUGUUGGGUAGGGGAGCGUUCUGUAAGCCUGUGAAGGUGUGCUGUGAGGCAUGCUGGAGGUAUCAGAAGUGCGAAUGCUGACAUAAGUAACGAUAAAGCGGGUGAAAAGCCCGCUCGCCGGAAGACCAAGGGUUCCUGUCCAACGUUAAUCGGGGCAGGGUGAGUCGACCCCUAAGGCGAGGCCGAAAGGCGUAGUCGAUGGGAAACAGGUUAAUAUUCCUGUACUUGGUGUUACUGCGAAGGGGGGACGGAGAAGGCUAUGUUGGCCGGGCGACGGUUGUCCCGGUUUAAGCGUGUAGGCUGAUUUUCCAGGCAAAUCCGGAAAAUCAAGGCUGAGGCGUGAUGACGAGGCACUACGGUGCUGAAGCAACAAAUGCCCUGCUUCCAGGAAAAGCCUCUAAGCAUCAGGUAACAUCAAAUCGUACCCCAAACCGACACAGGUGGUCAGGUAGAGAAUACCAAGGCGCUUGAGAGAACUCGGGUGAAGGAACUAGGCAAAAUGGUGCCGUAACUUCGGGAGAAGGCACGCUGAUAUGUAGGUGAAGUCCCUCGCGGAUGGAGCUGAAAUCAGUCGAAGAUACCAGCUGGCUGCAACUGUUUAUUAAAAACACAGCACUGUGCAAACACGAAAGUGGACGUAUACGGUGUGACGCCUGCCCGGUGCCGGAAGGUUAAUUGAUGGGGUCAGCGCAAGCGAAGCUCUUGAUCGAAGCCCCGGUAAACGGCGGCCGUAACUAUAACGGUCCUAAGGUAGCGAAAUUCCUUGUCGGGUAAGUUCCGACCUGCACGAAUGGCGUAAUGAUGGCCAGGCUGUCUCCACCCGAGACUCAGUGAAAUUGAACUCGCUGUGAAGAUGCAGUGUACCCGCGGCAAGACGGAAAGACCCCGUGAACCUUUACUAUAGCUUGACACUGAACAUUGAGCCUUGAUGUGUAGGAUAGGUGGGAGGCUUUGAAGUGUGGACGCCAGUCUGCAUGGAGCCGGCCUUGAAAUACCACCCUUUAAUGUUUGAUGUUCUAACGUGGACCCGUAAUCCGGGUUGCGGACAGUGUCUGGUGGGUAGUUUGACUGGGGCGGUCUCCUCCUAAAGAGUAACGGAGGAGCACGAAGGUUGGCUAAUCCUGGUCGGACAUCAGGAGGUUAGUGCAAUGGCAUAAGCCAGCUUGACUGCGAGCGUGACGGCGCGAGCAGGUGCGAAAGCAGGUCAUAGUGAUCCGGUGGUUCUGAAUGGAAGGGCCAUCGCUCAACGGAUAAAAGGUACUCCGGGGAUAACAGGCUGAUACCGCCCAAGAGUUCAUAUCGACGGCGGUGUUUGGCACCUCGAUGUCGGCUCAUCACAUCCUGGGGCUGAAGUAGGUCCCAAGGGUAUGGCUGUUCGCCAUUUAAAGUGGUACGCGAGCUGGGUUUAGAACGUCGUGAGACAGUUCGGUCCCUAUCUGCCGU